RNAcentral lists this ribosomal RNA (1249 nucleotides) under metagenome. RNAcentral describes it as "bacterial SSU rRNA". It matches the Rfam family "Bacterial small subunit ribosomal RNA", at positions 8 to 1266 of the family's 1533-position model. The record is from RNAcentral.
AGAGUUUGAUCAUGGCUCAGAUUGAACGCUGGCGGCAGGCUUAACACAUGCAAGUCGAACGGAACCUUCGGGUUUAGUGGCGAACGGGUGAGUAAUACCUAGGAAUCUGCCUAUUAGUGGGGGGUAACGGCUCGAAAGAGUCGCUAAUACCGCAUACGUCCUACGGGAGAAAGAGGGGGAUCUUCGGACCUCUUGCUAAUAGAUGAGCCUAGGCCGGAUUAGCUAGUUGGUAGGGUAAAGGCCUACCAAGGCGACGAUCCGUAGCUGGUCUGAGAGGAUGAUCAGCCACACUGGAACUGAGACACGGUCCAGACUCCUACGGGAGGCAGCAGUGGGGAAUAUUGGACAAUGGGCGCAAGCCUGAUCCAGCCAUGCCGCGUGUGUGAAGAAGGCCUUCGGGUUGUAAGGCACUUUAAGCGAGGAGGAAGGUCUUUGAACUAAUAUUUCAAAGAAUUGACGUUACUCGCAGAAUAAGCACCGGCUAACUCUGUGCCAGCAGCCGCGGUAAUACAGAGGGUGCAAGCGUUAAUCGGAAUUACUGGGCGUAAAGCGCGCGUAGGCGGUAUGUUAAGUCGGAUGUGAAAUCCCUGGGCUCAACCUAGGCAUUGCAUCCGAUACUGGCACACUAGAGUGUGGGAGAGGAAGGUAGAAUUCCAGGUGUAGCGGUGAAAUGCGUAGAGAUCUGGAGGAAUACCGAUGGCGAAGGCAGCCUUCUGGCCUAACACUGACGCUGAGGUGCGAAAGCAUGGGGAGCAAACAGGAUUAGAUACCCUGGUAGUCCAUGCCGUAAACGAUGUCAACUAGCCGUUGGGCUCCUUGAGGGCUUAGUGGCGCAGCUAACGCGAUAAGUUGACCGCCUGGGGAGUACGGUCGCAAGACUAAAACUCAAAUGAAUUGACGGGGGCCCGCACAAGCGGUGGAGCAUGUGGUUUAAUUCGAUGCAACGCGAAGAACCUUACCUGGCCUUGACAUGUCUGGAAUCCUGCAGAGAUGCGGGAGUGCCUUCGGGAAUCAGAACACAGGUGCUGCAUGGCUGUCGUCAGCUCGUGUCGUGAGAUGUUGGGUUAAGUCCCGCAACGAGCGCAACCCUUUUCUUACUUGCCAGCACUUCGGGUGGGAACUUUAAAGAUACUGCCGGUGACAAACCGGAGGAAGGCGGGGACGACGUCAAGUCAUCAUGGCCCUUACGGCCAGGGCUACACACGUGCUACAAUGGUCGGUACAAAGGGUUGCUACCCCGCGAGGGCAU